Molecule: long non-coding RNA, 536 nt
Organism: Brienomyrus brachyistius
Lineage: Eukaryota; Metazoa; Chordata; Actinopteri; Osteoglossiformes; Mormyridae
Exons: 2
Source: RefSeq, a predicted model, not a curated record
CUCAGAUUCCCAUGGUUAAAAGCAACAGCGGCGAUGCGCCAAAAGUCGAAGCCCUUCAAGAAGAAGUGCCACAAAUGCUGAGGAUCUACAAGCUUCUCCCGCACCUUGCAGCUCUUCUGAAACUCUCGGACGCAGGCUGAGGUCCACACCAGGCUGCGGCAGACUGGAGCCAUGUGUGACAGCACCUGGCCUCCACAUCACCUCAGGCCCAGACGGGAGGCAGGCCUGCAUGUCAAUCUCAGGCCCAGACGGGAGGCAGGCCUGCAUGUCAAUCUCAGGCCCCAUUUGGAGAAGAAGUGCACCUGGCUGUCGCUAAUGAAUUUUCUUGCAAUUAAUUCAUUAAUUCUGUUUGUGUGAUCUGGCGUGGACUCACUCAUCACAACCUCAGGAUUCGGUCCAUGCGUACCAGUCAGCAGGGAGUUGGGAUGACAUGCUCAAAGAUUCCCUGGUAUUCUGAUGUUCCUUUAACAAACAGACAGAGGUACUUCUGUAUCCCCAUUAAGGAGCUCAAUACUAUUAAAAAGUGAUCUUCCUGA